RNAcentral lists this ribosomal RNA (789 nucleotides) under Ceratina sp. JS-2010. Its description in RNAcentral is "SSU rRNA". It matches the Rfam family "Eukaryotic small subunit ribosomal RNA", at positions 457 to 1201 of the family's 1831-position model. The record is from RNAcentral. Lineage: Eukaryota; Metazoa; Arthropoda; Insecta; Hymenoptera; Apidae.
CGGGGAGGUAGUGACGAAAAAUAACGAUACGGGACUCAUCCGAGGCCCCGUAAUCGGAAUGAGUACACUUUAAAUCCUUUAACGAGGACCAAUUGGAGGGCAAGUCUGGUGCCAGCAGCCGCGGUAAUUCCAGCUCCAAUAGCGUAUAUUAAAGUUGUUGCGGUUAAAAAGCUCGUAGUUGAAUCUGUGUGUCACAGUGUCGGUUCACCGCUCGCGGUGUUUAACUGGCAUUAUGUGGUACGUCCUACCGGUGGGCUCAGCACCUUCGCGGGUGCGGUCCAAUCGAAUUUACCCAUCGCGGUGCUCUUCAUUGAGUGUCGAGGUGGGCCGGUACGUUUACUUUGAACAAAUUAGAGUGCUCAAAGCAGGCUACUCUCGCCUGAAUACUCUGUGCAUGGAAUAAUGGAAUAGGACCUCGGUUCUAUUUUGUUGGUUUUCGGAACCCCGAGGUAAUGAUUAAUAGGGACAGAUGGGGGCAUUCGUAUUGCGACGUUAGAGGUGAAAUUCUUGGAUCGUCGCAAGACGGACUAAAGCGAAAGCAUUUGCCAAAAAUGUUUUCAUUAAUCAAGAACGAAAGUUAGAGGUUCGAAGGCGAUCAGAUACCGCCCUAGUUCUAACCAUAAACGAUGCCAGCUAGCGAUCCGCCGAAGUUCCUCCGAUGACUCGGCGGGCAGCUUCCGGGAAACCAAAGCUUUUGGGUUCCGGGGGAAGUAUGGUUGCAAAGCUGAAACUUAAAGGAAUUGACGGAAGGGCACCACCAGGAGUGGAGCCUGCGGCUUAAUUUGACUC